Molecule: long non-coding RNA, 811 nt
Filed under: Triticum aestivum (bread wheat)
Lineage: Eukaryota; Viridiplantae; Streptophyta; Magnoliopsida; Poales; Poaceae
Description: long non-coding RNA (TAES_LNC009592)
Source: RNAcentral
AAAAAAAUUCUGAUUAAAUAUGCUCAUUGCCUUAUAGAAAAAAGGAGUUUGCAUAUAUAUAUAUAUAUAUACCAUAUACAUAACUUCUUUAUCAAAAAAGGAAGAAAUACACAGCAAAAAAUGGAAGUACAUAUUUUUUUCCAUAUCUGGCCUACUACUCUACCCGGAGCUAUACUAUUCUGCAUCCACCACAUCAAGCGCCGCCGAGCGCUCGCGGGUCAUCAAUCAGACUUCAUCGCCAUGGCUUUUCUCUGGCCACUGAUCGGGCAAACUUCUUUAAAAUAAAGUUAAAAUAAAGACGACGCUGGAGACGCCCUUGUCGAGGUGUUCGCUGCCGCUGCUCGGAUUGGAGGCGCCAGCGUGGGGGGGGGGUCACAUCCAGGCGAGGAGGAGGCCAGCCAUCGGUAGCGCUAGAUCCCGUGACGAAGAUGACGACAUUGGAGUGGCCGACAAACCAGGCGAGGCAGGGAGGUCGGGAAUGGGCCGCCGGCAUCCGGAUCCGUCCGGAUCAGGCCGGAUCCCGACGAAUUUGAAGGAGAACGGUGGCUGGAAGGUGUCCUCGGGUGACGCCAUGGGCGCUCGGCCUCCAUUGCUGCAAGGAGAGGCAGAGAGAGAGAUGAGAUAGGAGAGCAACCGAAAGAGAGGCAGCGCGAGGCGGGGCUCACCGGCGUGCUGCGGUGGGAGGCGCAGGCGACGACCCGUCGCGCAGCCGGCGACGGUCAGCGGCGGAGAGCCUAGAAGGUACUCGAGUGCGCUGCUGGUAUGGUGCUCGUGUUCAUGUGAGAGGAUAAGGUACCAACGAAAGCACAAA